RNAcentral lists this ribosomal RNA (497 nucleotides) under uncultured bacterium. RNAcentral describes it as "bacterial SSU rRNA". It matches the Rfam family "Bacterial small subunit ribosomal RNA", at positions 28 to 518 of the family's 1533-position model. The record is from RNAcentral.
GAUGAACGCUAGCGGCAGGCUUAAUACAUGCAAGUCGUGGGGCAGCACAGUGUAGCAAUACAUGGGUGGCGACCGGCAAACGGGUGCGUAACACGUACGCAACCUUCCUUUAGGCGGGGAAUAGCCCAGAGAAAUUUGGAUUAAUACCCCAUAAAAUUUUGAGAUGGCAUCAUCUUAUUAUUAAAGCUUCGGCACCUGAAGAUGGGCGUGCGGCUGAUUAGGUAGUUGGCGGGGUAACGGCCCACCAAGCCUUCGAUCAGUAGCUGAUGUGAGAGCAUGAUCAGCCACACGGGCACUGAGACACGGGCCCGACUCCUACGGGAGGCAGCAGUAAGGAAUAUUGGUCAAUGGGCGAAAGCCUGAACCAGCCAUGCCGCGUGGAGGAUGAAGGUCCUCUGGAUUGUAAACUUCUUUUAUCUGGGACGAAAAAGGGUUUUCUAACUCGUCUGACGGUACCAGAUGAAUAAGCACCGGCUAACUCCGUGCCAGCAGCCGAC